GCGCCGUAGGGGACGGAGCUCUCAUCCUGAUCCUGCUCUCAGAAGACGCGGCCAGGACAGCCAAGGUCUACCCGGAGCUGGUCUUAAUUCUGUUGAAGGCUGAACCUGGACCUGGGCAGAGCCCGUCACAGCCACGGAUACAACAUUGGCGCGGUCGGAACCGGAGCGCGGAAUCGGAGCCAUUAGGCAAGUGUUUUUUUGUUUAUUAAGAACAAUUGUCAUUUGACUCAAUUGACUGCAUUUAAUUGGCAGCAUCAUUUUGUGAGGAUUUUAUUAGUUAAAAUAGUCACGUGAUCGAAACGUUGGCUGAAGAAGUCCCUCAUGGAAAAAAUAGAUCAAUUGAUUCAAAAGGUUACUCAAGUAUUUGUGACGGAGUAAAUGUAGAGUUACUACCCACCUCUGGACCUGGGCCAGACGGUACAACCAGGUGCGUUCACGUCAUUGUAUUGUAAAGAAUAGGCCACCUCACAACUGCUAUGAUUAAACCUUUAUUGACCUGCUACAGCACCAGAGUAAAACA
This is a long non-coding RNA of Gadus morhua (Atlantic cod), 520 nucleotides long. RefSeq lists it as uncharacterized. The transcript has 3 exons. The record is from RefSeq and is a predicted model, not a curated record. Lineage: Eukaryota; Metazoa; Chordata; Actinopteri; Gadiformes; Gadidae.